GUGGACAUAGACAGGUGUAUUAUGGGGCCUCCAGUCAUGCUUAAUGGAAGAUACUAACUCAAUUGAUAUAAGCAAAGGAAAAUACAGUGUAUUAUAUAAUGAGACAUCUUGAGUAGGGUAGUCCUAGGGUCAGUUGAUUCAGCAGCUUGAUUCAUAAUCAAGAGCCCAAAUUCUUUUCCACUUUCUACCCUGUCAUCCUCAGCCUAUCAGUUUCAUCCUCCCGGUGGCUCAAAGGUAGUUGCAAGGUGGUUGCUAUCAUGCCAUGUCCUACAUGCAGAUGUGAAACGUAUCUCUUUUCAUAAGUCUCAUUUUAAGGGCAAGGAAACACCUGCAGGCCUUUCUGCCACUCUUUUGACCCACUUAUUUUAUUGUGGAACAAGUGACAAACACCUCUUUAAGUGGAUCACUUGGCCAGGAGGGAGAGCUUGCCAUUAUCCUUAGAUGGAGGAGAAUAGGGGUGAGGGUUGUUAUGCCUGAACAUAAGCAGUGCUCUGCCAGUAAAUAAGUGCAGAGAUGGGGCGAUAAAUAGGCAAUUCCUUACCAAGGAGCCAUGGUAAAGCUUCAGGCCAGCUCAGAAGGUGAUGAAGAUGGAGUACACUCCACAGCAACCAGAACAACCAGAAGGAACACACGUUUACAGCCUGCUUCCGAUUCCACACCAUGAGGACAAUGGGUGCAGCAUGCCACACUGGUCCAGGAACUCAGAACUAGGACAGCAGCAGUGGGGAGGAGAAAUGGAGAGAAACAGAAGCUGCCUCUGAUGCACUGAUCCCACCACCCAUAAAUGAUCUUUUCAUGAGCCGGCUUCAUAUUAAAGACAAGACACAGCUGUCAGGGCCUCCAGAGAUUUCCCAGCAGUCUACUCUGGUGAAAUAAAAUACCAUGUUAUGCUGGAAAACUAGCCUGUCCUUUCUGAACAUGAGCUGUGUUAUUCUCAUGGCCAAGAUAAAGGAUCCCAGGCCCUGGACACUUACUGCUUCUCUUGAGAUUUGUGGCAUAAUCUUCUAGAUAGUACUUGAUUUUGUGUGUGUGUUCCAGCUUCCCCGCAUGAUAUUGAUAAUUAUCUUCUAAAGGGAUUGGAUAUGUUUGUAUAAUACAUGUAUACUACUCCUUCUUGAAAUACUGUCUUGAAGGAGAGCAUUUGGUUACCAUUAAAGCAACUCUUUCGCUUCCAAGUGGUGAGAAGUUCUGUGGCCCUGGUGCCACAGAUGACUUGGGAUGUUGACAGAGUUGUGAUCGUCCCUGUAGGCAUCUUUUGUGUCAUUACUACCAGAAGGAUUGCAUUAUACAAAUGGGCUGAGGUUUGUACAUAAUGAUUGGUUGAACUGCUUCUGAUGUUGCAAUCUCAGCUUUAUCUGCCUCAGAGUAAAUGGAGCCAGCUGAAAUAGGUCUGUAACCCUGCAUGGAGAUUUGGAGUAUACAAGUAAAAUGUUGGGAAGGUGUCUAAUUGGAGACUGUUUUUAGUUAAAUGGUUUACACCCUAGUAGAGACCAAGAGAGAAGGCACACGUGAUGCUCCAACCUCAUAUUUUGAUUUCAGUCUUCAAAUAAUAGUAUGAAUUUCAAAUCCCAGCAAAGGCUUGCAUAAGCCUAUGGUAAAGGAGAAGUAUCUCAGAAACUAAAAAGUUCUUCUGACUGAUGACAGGAGCUCUCCAAGUGUUGACAGACAGCCCUCCUCACACAUUCCUUUCUCCCUCUCCCAUUUUAUCCUAAUUAUAAGCUAGCAAAUAGGAUAAAGGAAGACACCUCUCCCUAUUGGAUAUACCUGUGUUCAGAAAUCUUUACCAAACUAAAAUAAUCAGAAUCCAAUUUCUAAGAAUCUAGUUUAUUUCUAACCUAUCUGCAAGGUAUACCUGGGAGGGUAGGUAAGGAUCUAAUUAGUGAUACAAAUGUCAUUCAAUCAGACAAACAGAUUCCUUUGGGAGUACACAAAUAAAAUCCCAACCAGUAGAAUUUACCAACUGAGGAAUAAAUAUAGAGCCUUGUUUAUUUUCUAUAUUUUUAUGCAAUAGGUAAGUGCUCAGUAAAUACAGUUGGGUUGGAUUAUUAAAUUGAAAACAUCCAUGCCCACUUUGAAGAAAAUAAUCUGAAGGGAAAUUAUCUAAUGCCAUGAAUAUGUAAAUUAUACCUUGACCCACUUUUCUGCUUCUCAAUUGUGAGGCCAAAAUGCCUUCCACGUAUAACUUUCUAAUUUUUACAAGUUGUAAUAGUCCCUGAGGGAAGGGAAAUAGCAAUUGCCAUUAUCCCAUUUUACAGAUAUGAGAACUGAAGCACAAGCUGCUCAGCCAGGAAUGGCAACUCUGUAAGAGUCAGAGUAAAAUGAUAUAAGACUGGGACAGAGGGAGCAGAAAUGCUGCCUAGAAUUUAGUCUGAGGUUCCUAUUCUAUCUCCUUGCCUCCUUUGACCAGAUAAUAACCUAGGAACCCCUGGCAUUGCACUCUCACACACCAGGAGAAGCUUCCCCUGCCCAUCACAAGGGCAGAGCAAACAGCCAAAUGGCAGGACUCAUGUAUAGCAGGGGCUCUGUUCUGCUUACCAUGAUGGGCCCACCUUCACCCCCAUUCCCCAGUGCCUACCUAAUUCAGCACUUGCAUUGGCCCUAGCAAACAAGGGUCAAAUGACAGGAUGAAUCAAUGAAGGACUUGUGAUUCCCAUUUUUGGUGUUCAACCCAUUAAAUCAAUGUUUCUUAAAAGAAGUUGGUCACGGUUGCUCAUGCCUAUAAUCCCAGGGGCUCGGGAGGCUGAAGCAAGAGGAUAUCUUGAGGCCAGGAGUCUGAGACCAGCCUCAGUAACAUAGGGAGACCCUGCCUCUACAAAAUUAAAAAGAAAAACAUUAGUCAGUCUGGUAGUCUCAGCUCCUCUGGAGGUUGAGUCAGGAGGAUUGCUUGGGCCCAGAAGUUUGAGGCUGCCUUGAUUGCUGCCCUGCACUCCAGCCUGGGUAACAGAGUGAGACCCUGUUUCAAAAAAAGAAAGAAAGAAAGAAAAAAGAAGUCUUAAGACAUUACAGUCUACCCUUUUAGAAGAGAAAAUGCCUGAUAGCAUCACUUACCUGCAAUCAUUCCUGCAGAAACAGCAAAAAGACUCUUUCCACAUUUCAAGGAACCACAUGCAUCUGGUUCUAGUGAUGCUCCUUUCUAAUAAAACAAAUACUCCUUGUCGGGCGUGGUGGCUCACACCUGUAA
This is a long non-coding RNA of Aotus nancymaae (Ma's night monkey), 3181 nucleotides long. NCBI's taxonomy places the organism in Eukaryota, Metazoa, Chordata, Mammalia, Primates, Aotidae. The record is from Ensembl.